RNAcentral lists this ribosomal RNA (402 nucleotides) under uncultured soil bacterium. RNAcentral's name for it is "bacterial SSU rRNA". It matches the Rfam family "Bacterial small subunit ribosomal RNA", at positions 26 to 429 of the family's 1533-position model. The record is from RNAcentral.
AGAUUGAACGCUAGCGGGAUGCUUUACACAUGCAAGUCGAACGGCAGCGCGGACUUCGGUCUGGCGGCGAGUGGCGAACGGGUGAGUAAUAUAUCGGAACGUGCCCAGUAGCGGGGGAUAACUACGCGAAAGCGUGGCUAAUACCGCAUACGCCCUACGGGGGAAAGGGGGGGAUCGCAAGACCUCUCACUAUUGGAGCGGCCGAUAUCAGAUUAGCUAGUUGGUGAGGUAAAGGCUCACCAAGGCGACGAUCUGUAGCUGGUUUGAGAGGACGACCAGCCACACUGGGACUGAGACACGGCCCAGACUCCGUACGGGAGCAGCAGUGGGUAAUUUGGACAAGUGGGGGAAACCCUGAUCCAGCCAUCCGCGUGUGCGAUGAACGGCCGUUACGGGUGUAAA